UUACCAAGACGAUGAUGUGUAGCUGGACUGAGAGGUCGAACAGCCACAUUGGGACUGAGACACGGCCCAAACUCCUACGGGAGGCAGCAGUAAGGAAUUUUUGGCAAUGGAGGAAACUCUGACCGAGCGACGUCGCGUGAACAAUGAAGUACUUCGGUAUGUAAAGUUCUUUUAUUGAAAAAGAAAAAAUAGUGGAAAAACUAUCUUGACAUUAUUCAAUGAAUAAGCCCCGGCUAAUUAUGUGCCAGCAGCCGCGGUAAUACAUAAGGGGCGAGCGUUAUCCGGAAUUAUUGGGCGUAAAGGGUGCGUAGGCGGUUUGAUAAGUCUAUAGUUUAAAUGCAGUGCUUAACGCUAUAGCGCUAUAGAAACUGUCUGACUAGAGUUAGAUAGAGGCAAGCGGAAUUCCAUGUGUAGCGGUAAAAUGCGUAAAUAUAUGGAGGAACACCAGAGGCGUAGGCGGCUUGCUGGGUCUUAACUGACGCUGAGGCACGAAAGCGUGGGGAGCAAACAGGAUUAGAUACCCUGGUAGUCCACGCCGUAAACGAUGAGUACUAAGUGUCGGGUUUCGGCUCGGUACUGAAGUUAACACAUUAAGUACUCCGCCUGAGUAGUACGUACGCAAGUAUGAAACUUAAAGGAAUUGACGGGACCCCGCACAAGCGGUGGAUCAUGUUGUUUAAUUCGAAGAUACACGAAAAACCUUACCAGGUCUUGACAUAAUUUUGCGACAUUAUAGAAAUAUAAUGAAGGUUAUCAGAAUUACAGGUGGUGCAUGGUUGUCGUCAGCUCGUGUCGUGAGAUGUUAGGUUAAGUCCUAAAACGAGCGCAACCCUUGUCGUUAGUUGCGACCACGUAAUGGUGAGCACUUUAGCGAGACUGCCAAUGAAAAAUUGGAGGAAGGUGAGGAUUACGUCAAAUCAUCAUGCCCCUUAUGAUCUGGGCUACAAACGUGAUACAAUGGCUGUUACAAAGAGUAGCUACAACGUGAGUUUUUAGCCAAUCUCAAAAAAACAGUCUCAGUUCGGAUUGAAGUCUGCAACUCGACUUCAUGAAGUUGGAAUCGCUAGUAAUCGCGAAUCAGCAUGUCGCGGUGAAUACGUUCUCGGGGUUUGUACACACCGCCCGUCAAACCACGAAAGUUGAUAAUACCCGAAAGCGGUCGCUUAACUUCGUCAGAAGAGGGA
RNAcentral lists this ribosomal RNA (1184 nucleotides) under 'Allium sativum' leaf yellows phytoplasma. RNAcentral describes it as "bacterial SSU rRNA". It matches the Rfam family "Bacterial small subunit ribosomal RNA", at positions 265 to 1451 of the family's 1533-position model. Lineage: Bacteria; Bacillati; Mycoplasmatota; Mollicutes; Acholeplasmatales; Acholeplasmataceae. The record is from RNAcentral.